UACGUAGGGACCGAGCGUUGUCCGGAUUCAUUGGGCAUAAAGAGCUCGUAGGCGGCUGCUCAAGUCGAAUGUGAAAACUCGAGGCUCAACCUCGAGCCUGCAUUCGAUACUGGGCGGCUAGAGUCUGGUAGGGGGAUCUGGAAUUCCUGGUGUAGCGGUGAAAUGCGCAGAUAUCAGGAGGAACACCGGUGGCGAAGGCGGGUCUCUGGGCCGAUACUGACGCUGAGGAGCGAAAGCGUGGGGAGCGAACAGG
RNAcentral lists this ribosomal RNA (253 nucleotides) under uncultured bacterium. RNAcentral describes it as "partial 16S ribosomal RNA". It matches the Rfam family "Bacterial small subunit ribosomal RNA", at positions 524 to 776 of the family's 1533-position model. The record is from RNAcentral.